UACAGGGGGGGCAAGCGUUGUUCGGAAUUACUGGGCGUAAAGGGCUCGUAGGUGGCCAACUAAGUCAGACGUGAAAUCCCUCAGCUUAACUGGGGAACUGCGUCUGAUACUGGAUGGCUUGAGUUUGGGAGAGGGAUGCGGAAUUCCAGGUGUAGCGGUGAAAUGCGUAGAUAUCUGGAGGAACACCGGUGGCGAAGGCGGCAUCCUGACCAACACUGACACUGAGGAGCGAAAGCCAGGGGAGCAAACGGG
Molecule: ribosomal RNA, 252 nt
Filed under: uncultured bacterium
Lineage: Bacteria
Description: partial 16S ribosomal RNA
Rfam family: Bacterial small subunit ribosomal RNA
Source: RNAcentral